Dunckerocampus dactyliophorus (ringed pipefish) is the source of this 717-nucleotide long non-coding RNA. RefSeq lists it as uncharacterized. NCBI's taxonomy places the organism in Eukaryota, Metazoa, Chordata, Actinopteri, Syngnathiformes, Syngnathidae. The record is from RefSeq and is a predicted model, not a curated record. The transcript is spliced from 6 exons.
ACUACACGCCAAAAGUCAUCUCCACUGUACGAACUCUGACCAGAACUGGACUUAGGAGACAAAGUGGGGGGCAAGUCGCUGCUAUUGAACUACAAUGCUGAUACAAGGAUUUAGGGCAGUAAGAAAACGGAGCUCUGCAGCAGCAAAGAGGAGAAUAUGGUGUCCAACACUGGAUAGUCCAGAGCUAAGCCACAGCAACAGGAUUUCAGCUUCUAUGUAUAGCCAUAUCAAUCUGCCCAGGGCCUUCAGAAUCAAAUUCUCGGACAUCCUGACAAGCCAGCUUGCAGCCCCCCAUUUCUGAUUGGUUGAUCAGAGCAAAGAGGCAGACACCCUGUCCUGAUUGUUUUUUUGAUCAGACGAUCAAUCGAUACGUUACGCCCACAUUGGCAGACUGAUGAGAAAUCUCUGGGUCGGGUUGGAGCCUAUCCCAGCUGACUUCGGGCAAGAGGCGGGGCACACCCUGGACUGGUCGCCAGUCAAUCCAGGGCACAUAUAGACAAACAUUCACACUCGCAUUCAUACCUAUGGACAAUUUAGAGUCACCAAUUAACCUAACAUCCAUGUUUUUGGAGUGAGGGAGGAAACCAGAGUACUCGGAGAAAACACAACAUGUUUCAAGAGUGUCAGAAGUCUAUGACUACAACCUGAAGGCCGCAGCAGGUUCUUCAACAUGACCGAGAAGGGAGGGGUAAGGAUAUUCAAUUAGUUUUGUAGUGC